UGUGAGUAGGUUGGAAUUCAAGGUCGUUAUCGUGCCGAAACCCUUCCGGAGGGUCCUUCUAAUUGUUCCCUCCACCCCCCCCCCCCUCUUUCAACUACAUUUCUAUUAUUAUGUACCUCCUUAAGUCUGUCCUCUUUUCAAAAGACUUCCAUUCCCCCUUCUUCCUCCUACUUCUUAUUCCC
Non-coding RNA from Caenorhabditis elegans, 182 nucleotides. Lineage: Eukaryota; Metazoa; Nematoda; Chromadorea; Rhabditida; Rhabditidae. The record is from Ensembl.